Choloepus didactylus (southern two-toed sloth) is the source of this 1422-nucleotide long non-coding RNA. RefSeq lists it as uncharacterized. Lineage: Eukaryota; Metazoa; Chordata; Mammalia; Pilosa; Megalonychidae. The record is from RefSeq and is a predicted model, not a curated record. The transcript is spliced from 4 exons.
GGGAGGACAGAGAGGGAUAUCCAGGUAAACCUCUGGAAAUAUUUUCAUGGCCCUUCAUCGGGAGCAAUGACAGUGACUUCCACCUGUUCCGGGGAGAAGCCCAGAUGCACGAUGUCAAAGGCUGUGGCUCAUCAGCCCUGGGAGAGGCACCAGAGUCUCCAAGGAAUCUUUGCAAUGAUGGUGUCAUUCAUUCAGCAAAUUCAUUCAUUCAGCAAAUGUUUAUUGAAUUCUUACUAUGUGUCCACAUGGAGAUGCCAUUCUCCUAGGAGAAAGCAAGGCAUUAAAAAAUAAGCAUAAUACAUACAGCAAGUAUCAUGUUAAAAGACAAGUAUCAUGAAUAAAAAAGGAAACAUGGAAGAGAAUUGGGAGGGGGUUUUAGGAAUGCUGGGAAGAAGUGAAGAGUUUUCAGUAUUAAGUAGUACAGUCAGUUUAGGCCUCAUGAAGAAGAUGCCAUUUGAAUCAAGAUUUAAGAUCAUAAUGCUUCCUCAAGCCUUCUGAGAGGUAUUGAUAUGAUUAAGAGAAGUUGGUCUACUAGGAAAAUGGGUCAGCUUUGUGAUUCCCAUUGAUUUGGAAUCAUACUCUGUUUAAAUAAAAUUUUGGAACAUUUACGAGAACUUCUGCGUCACACUGUUUUAACUUUCAUUAAUCUGGUAGAUUGAAUCAUGUACCGCAACAAAAGACAUGUUCUCAAUCUUAAUCCAUGUCCCUGUGGGUGUGAACCCGUUUGGAAAUAGGACGCUUUGAAGGUGUAUCUUCACUUAGGGUGUGGACUCAUUUGUGAAUAGGAUCUUCUAAGAUUCUACUCAGGUGUGGCCAAAUUGAAUCAGGAGGGCCUUACUCCAUAUGACUGACGGACUUAUAAAGAGAAGGCAGAAGUCGGAGAAAACCACAAGAGAGAGUGAAGUAGAUCAUUGUGUAACAGAGGCAGAGUUGCUAGCCAAGGAACCACGAGGAUUGUGGCAAGAGGCAGUGGAAUGCUACAGACUCCCAGAGAAAGUGUGGCCCAUUGAGACAUUGAUAUUGGACAAUAAAGGAACUUAAAAGCCUGCUUCAAGGUAUGUAUUUAACUAUGUUUGUAGAUGGGACCACAUAUUCAUCAAAAGCCCUUUAAAGGUGAUUCUUGAAAUUCACUAGCCUUAUAAAUAGAGUAAGAUUUGUAAGCUGAAUUUCAAUUUAAGGAAGAACUGAUUCUGUAAAUGUAUAACCUUAAUAAAUUGAAUGUUACCUAUUUUAAUGAAUUAUUUUCAUGUGCUCUGACACGUAUAAAACUUGAUAUGUAAAGGGAACUCAUAGAAGUAAUGCUUUCCUGCUCUUCCUCAGAGAUAAAACAAUGUUUUCCCAGUUUUAUAAAUUCAAAGUAAUUGUUAACAUGUUGCCAGGCAAGUGAUGAUUGACAAAGACUUCGCAAUCGGAGUCUUUAAG